Molecule: small RNA, 120 nt
Filed under: Pseudomonas massiliensis
Lineage: Bacteria; Pseudomonadati; Pseudomonadota; Gammaproteobacteria; Pseudomonadales; Pseudomonadaceae
Source: RNAcentral
AUGGACGUAGCGCAGGAAGCGCCGAACAGAAAAGGGACACGACAAGGAUCACUGCCAAGGUUGGCGGGAUGAUAAGGAUUUCAGGGAAACAAGUCUGCAAACCCCGCUUCGGCGGGGUUU